AUGUACAUCCUCACAAUGUAGAGUCAAUGCACCAGAUCCCAUUAGAAAUUCGUAGUUAAGCGCUGUCGGGCUAGAGUAGUAUUGGGAUGGGUGACCAUCCGGGAAGUCCUAGUGUUUUACAUG
Non-coding RNA from Picea glauca (white spruce), 123 nucleotides. The record is from Rfam. Lineage: Eukaryota; Viridiplantae; Streptophyta; Pinopsida; Pinales; Pinaceae.